This 87-nucleotide transfer RNA is filed under the name Desulfovibrio sp. OttesenSCG-928-G11. RNAcentral describes it as "tRNA-Leu". It matches the Rfam family "tRNA". Rfam says of the family: Transfer RNA (tRNA) molecules are approximately 80 nucleotides in length. Their secondary structure includes four short double-helical elements and three loops (D, anti-codon, and T loops). Further hydrogen bonds mediate the characteristic L-shaped molecular structure. tRNAs have two regions of fundamental functional importance: the anti-codon, which is responsible for specific mRNA codon recognition, and the 3' end, to which the tRNAs corresponding amino acid is attached (by aminoacyl-tRNA synthetases). tRNAs cope with the degeneracy of the genetic code in two manners: having more than one tRNA (with a specific anti-codon) for a particular amino acid; and 'wobble' base-pairing, i.e. permitting non-standard base-pairing at the 3rd anti-codon position. Lineage: Bacteria; Pseudomonadati; Thermodesulfobacteriota; Desulfovibrionia; Desulfovibrionales; Desulfovibrionaceae. The record is from RNAcentral.
GCCGAAGUGGUGGAAUUGGUAGACACGCCAGGUUCAGGGUCUGGUGCUCGCAAGGGUGUGAAGGUUCGAGUCCUUUCUUCGGCACCA